This 155-nucleotide transfer RNA is filed under the name Candidatus Freyarchaeota archaeon. Its description in RNAcentral is "tRNA-OTHER". Lineage: Archaea; Promethearchaeati; Candidatus Freyarchaeota. RNAcentral also lists the same sequence under 1 other name. The record is from RNAcentral.
GGGCCCAUAGCUCAGCCUGGAAUGAGCGCCGCGUUAUCCACCCUCGUUCCAAGAGGGUUGGGAGCGAAGGCAACUCUGCUCCAAAAUCGCGGAGGCCGCGGGUUCGAAUCCGCUGAGGCGCUCCCUCAACGGCGGCUAUCCCGCUGGGUCCACCA